CAGUCGCCGCGGGAAUACGAAGGGUGCAAGCGUUAAUCGGAAUUACUGGGCGUAAAGCGUGCGUAGGCGGUGAGUUAAGUCUGCUGUGAAAUCCCCGGGCUCAACCUGGGAAUGGCAAUGGAAACUGGACGGCUAGAGUGUGUCAGAGGAUGGUGGAAUUCCCGGUGUAGCGGUGAAAUGCGUAGAGAUCGGGAGGAACAUCAGUGGCGAAGGCGGCCAUCUGGGACAACACUGACGCUGAAGCACGAAAGCGUGGGGAGCAAACAGGAUUAGAUACCCGCGUAGUCCCUGUCUCUUAUAC
This 301-nucleotide ribosomal RNA is filed under the name uncultured bacterium. RNAcentral describes it as "partial 16S ribosomal RNA". It matches the Rfam family "Bacterial small subunit ribosomal RNA", at positions 509 to 807 of the family's 1533-position model. The record is from RNAcentral.